UAAUAGAAUAGCCUAAAAUGCCUAAAAUAAAGUGGAAGCAUAUAUUCCGUCCUGUAUAAACACCAGUGUUAGCAUUAACACACUCGAUAUGAUGAAUGCAUUAUUGGAUGUUUAUCUACAUAUGUAUUUGUUAUAAAAUAUAGUAUCGUUGAGGCGUCCACAGGGUUAGCGGCAUCAACAUCGACGAUUUCUCAGGAAUGUUGCAAAGAACAAUUAGCACGGCGGGAAUAUAUUCAUACGAAAUGGAGUUCGCCCACCCACAGGGGACUGUCGCUUGUUACAUCCUCAACUGUCAAGUGACAGAGAGGAAGAACGUGAAACCAUGAUAAUAAUGAACUUAAAUAUUAAUCUAGCUGUAUUCUGUAAUAAGAGGAUAUUUUAGUUUAUCCCAGUUGCGUCCGGGGUUGUGAAGCCACAAAGCCCGGUCUGAGCGUAAAAAAAAUCCCUUAAAAUUUUGAAGACUCGGCUGUGAUUUUCGUCAACCAUCAUUGGGAAUGCUAUUAUUACUUAUCUACCUGCUCGUAUGACAUCCACGGGAGGAUAUGGAGUGGGUCCUAUUCUAGGGCGGAACCACACGCUACAAUGUCAGUUUGUUGUGAACAUACAAACAAGCUUGUUAAAUAAGCAAUGUUACAAUACUUUAAAACCAUGUUUUGUUCAUAACUCAUUAGCUUAUCGAUAAAUACCCAAAACGAUCUAUAUGUUUUAUCAAUCAAAUCGAUGUUAAUGUACCAUAAAGUAUGGCAUUUGUUGGAAUAUUCUCACAUGUAGUAUAGUUGCGUGUUGGGACCCUACUUGACAGUGCAAUAAAAUGGUGUUUAAACAAUCUUUGUUUUUAAUUCUCAUUUACAUUUCAUAUUCUUCUUCGGCUAAGUUGAAAUUCAGAGUGAAGCUCCUUAAUGUGUCUUCGUGUCCAAAUCCUGAGUACCCAGUUGACAUAGAGUCACCAGUUUCAGUCUUUCCCUUUAUACGGGACAACAAUAAGGAUAAAUCAUUGAUGGAUAUCUACUAUAAUGUUACUCGACCAUUUGGUCCUUUAUCUUUGUAUUUUAGAGUAUACCAAAUACAGAAUGAAGGUAAACUAAAACUGAUUUUCAAGUCGGAACGAGCGACUUGCAAAAACCCCAUCACAUUUCAUGUGAUUCGUUUGGUAAGAGGUCCUGUCGACAAAAAUUGUAUGGU
Plodia interpunctella (Indianmeal moth) is the source of this 1182-nucleotide long non-coding RNA. RefSeq lists it as uncharacterized. The record is from RefSeq and is a predicted model, not a curated record. The transcript is spliced from 5 exons. NCBI's taxonomy places the organism in Eukaryota, Metazoa, Arthropoda, Insecta, Lepidoptera, Pyralidae.